This 253-nucleotide ribosomal RNA is filed under the name uncultured bacterium. Its description in RNAcentral is "partial 16S ribosomal RNA". It matches the Rfam family "Bacterial small subunit ribosomal RNA", at positions 524 to 776 of the family's 1533-position model. The record is from RNAcentral.
UACAGAGGUCCCAAGCGUUAUUCGGAUUCACUGGGCGUAAAGGGUGCGUAGGUGGCUUGGUAAGUUUGAUGUGAAAUCUCCGGGCUUAACCCGGAAAUGGCAUUGAAUACUAUUGAGCUGGAGGUUUGGAGGGGGGACUGGAAUUCUCGGUGUAGCAGUGAAAUGCGUAGAUAUCGAGAGGAACACCAGUGGCGAAGGCGAGUCCCUGGACAACACCUGACACUGAGGCACGAAAGCUAGGGGAGCAAACAGG